GAUGAACGCUGGCGGCGUGCUUAACACAUGCAAGUCGAACGGUGAAGGCGGAGCUUGCUCUGCUGGAUCAGUGGCGAACGGGUGAGUAACACGUGAGCAAUCUGCCCCUGACUCUGGGAUAAGCGCUGGAAACGGCGUCUAAUACUGGAUACGAGCUGCGAAGGCAUCUUCAGCAGCUGGAAGGAAUUUCGGUCAGGGAUGAGCUCGCGGCCUAUCAGCUUGUUGGUGAGGUAAUGGCUCACCAAGGCGUCGACGGGUAGCCGGCCUGAGAGGGUGACCGGCCACACUGGGACUGAGACACGGCCCAGACUCCUACGGGAGGCAGCAGUGGGGAAUAUUGCACAAUGGGCGAAAGCCUGAUGCAGCAACGCCGCGUGAGGGACGACGGCCUUCGGGUUGUAAACCUCUUUUAGCAGGGAAGAAGCGAAAGUGACGGUACCUGCAGAAAAAGCGCCGGCUAACUACGUG
RNAcentral lists this ribosomal RNA (468 nucleotides) under uncultured bacterium. RNAcentral describes it as "partial 16S ribosomal RNA". It matches the Rfam family "Bacterial small subunit ribosomal RNA", at positions 28 to 507 of the family's 1533-position model. The record is from RNAcentral.